RNAcentral lists this ribosomal RNA (637 nucleotides) under uncultured beta proteobacterium. Its description in RNAcentral is "bacterial SSU rRNA". It matches the Rfam family "Bacterial small subunit ribosomal RNA", at positions 93 to 722 of the family's 1533-position model. The record is from RNAcentral. Lineage: Bacteria; Pseudomonadati; Pseudomonadota; Betaproteobacteria.
GAGCGGCGGACGGGUGAGUAACGCGUGGGUAACCUGCCUCGUACAGGGGGAUAACAGUUAGAAAUGACUGCUAAUACCGCAUAAGACCACAGCACCGCAUGGUGCAGGGGUAAAAACUCCGGUGGUACAGGAUGGUCCCGCGUCUGAUUAGCCAGUUGGCAGGGUAACGGCCUACCAAAGCGACGAUCAGUAGCCGGCCUGAGAGGGUGAACGGCCACAUUGGGACUGAGACACGGCCCAGACUCCUACGGGAGGCAGCAGUGGGGAAUUUUGGACAAUGGGGGAAACCCUGAUCCAGCCAUGCCGCGUGCGGGAUGAAGGCCUUCGGGUUGUAAACCGCUUUUGUCAGAGACGAAAAGGGACGCACGAAUAAUACGUUCCGCUGACGGUAUCUGAAGAAUAAGCACCGGCUAACUACGUGCCAGCAGCCGCGGUAAUACGUAGGGUGCAAGCGUUACUCGGAAUUACUGGGCGUAAAGGGUGCGCAGGCGGCUGUGCCAAGACAGAUGUGAAAUCCCCGGGCUUAACCCUGGGAACUGCAUUUGUGACUGCACGGCUAGAGUUUGUCAGAGGAGGGUGGAAUUCCGCGUGUAGCAGUGAAUGCGUAGAUAUGCGGAAGAACACCAAUGGCGAAGGC